UACGAGGGGGGCGAGCGUUGUUCGGAAUUAUUGGGCGUAAAGAGCUCGUAGGCGGUGUGUCACGUCGGCCGUGAAAACCUGCAGCUUAACUGUGGGCGUGCGGUCGAUACGGGCAUCACUGGAGUUCGGCAGGGGAGACUGGAAUUCCUGGUGUAGCGGUGAAAUGCGCAGAUAUCAGGAGGAACACCGGUGGCGAAGGCGGGUCUCUGGGCCGAUACUGACGCUGAGGAGCGAAAGCGUGGGGAGCAAACAGG
Molecule: ribosomal RNA, 254 nt
Filed under: uncultured bacterium
Lineage: Bacteria
Description: partial 16S ribosomal RNA
Rfam family: Bacterial small subunit ribosomal RNA
Source: RNAcentral